GACGAACGCUGGCGGCGUGCCUAAUACAUGCAAGUAGAACGCUGAAGAGAGGAGCUUGCUCUUCUUGGAUGAGUUGCGAACGGGUGAGUAACGCGUAGGUAACCUGCCUGGUAGCGGGGGAUAACUAUUGGAAACGAUAGCUAAUACCGCAUAAAAUUGAUUAUUGCAUGAUAAUUAAUUGAAAGAUGCAACUGCAUCACUACCAGAUGGACCUGCGCUGUAUUAGCUGGUUGGUGAGGUAACGGCUCACCAAGGCGACGAUACAUAGCCGACCUGAGAGGGUGAUCGGCCACACUGGGACUGAGACACGGCCCAGACUCCUACGGGAGGCGGCAGUAGGGAAUCUUCGGCAAUGGGGGGAACCCUGACCGAGCAACGCCGCGUGAGUGAAGAAGGUUUUCGGAUCGUAAAGCUCUGUUGUAAGAGAAGAACGGGUGUGAGAGUGGAAAGUUCACACUGUGACGGUAUCUUACCAGAAAGGGACGGCUAACUACGUG
RNAcentral lists this ribosomal RNA (497 nucleotides) under uncultured bacterium. RNAcentral's name for it is "partial 16S ribosomal RNA". It matches the Rfam family "Bacterial small subunit ribosomal RNA", at positions 28 to 507 of the family's 1533-position model. The record is from RNAcentral.